CCCUUAGAUGUUCUGGGCCGCACGCGCGCUACACUGACGAAGUCAGCGAGCAUGUCCUACGCCGACAGGUGCGGGGAAUCUUGUCAAACUUCGUCGUGAUGGGGAUUGAUUUUUGAAAUUCUUGAUCAUAAACGAGGAAUUCCUAGUAAGCGCAAGUCAGCAGCUUGCGUUGAUUACGUCCCUGCCCUUUGUACACACCGCCCGUCGCUACUACCGAUUGGAUGGUUUAGUGAGAUCUUCGGAUUGGCGCCACUGCAGCUCAGCAAUGGGCUUGGUGGAUGCCGAAAAGUUGAUCAAACUUGAUCAUUUAGAGGAAGUAAAAGUCGUAACA
This 331-nucleotide ribosomal RNA is filed under the name uncultured eukaryote. Its description in RNAcentral is "partial 18S ribosomal RNA". It matches the Rfam family "Eukaryotic small subunit ribosomal RNA", at positions 1470 to 1796 of the family's 1831-position model. The record is from RNAcentral.